AUUGAACGCUGGCGGCAGGCCUAACACAUGCAAGUCGAACGGUAACAGGAAGCAGCUUGCUGCUUCGCUGACGAGUGGCGGACGGGUGAGUAAUGUCUGGGAAACUGCCUGAUGGAGGGGGAUACCUACUGGAAACGGUCGCUAAUACCGCAUAACGUCGCAAGACCACAGAGGGGGACCUUCGGGCCUCCUGCCAUCGGAUGGGCCCAGAUGGGAUUAGCUAGUAGGUGGGGUAACGGCUCACCUAGGCGACGAUCCCUAGCUGGUCUGAGAGGAUGACCAGCCACACUGGAACUGAGACACGGUCCAGACUCCUACGGGCGGCAGCAGUGGGGAAUAUUGCACAAUGGGCGCAAGCCUGAUGCAGCCAUGCCGCGUGUAUGAAGAAGGCCUUCGGGUUGUAAAGUACUUUCAGCGGGGAGGAAGGGAGUAAAGUUAAUACCUUUGCUCAUUGACGUUACCCGCAGAAGAAGCACCGGCUAACUCCGUGCCAGCCGCCGCAGUAA
RNAcentral lists this ribosomal RNA (506 nucleotides) under uncultured bacterium. RNAcentral's name for it is "partial 16S ribosomal RNA". It matches the Rfam family "Bacterial small subunit ribosomal RNA", at positions 30 to 523 of the family's 1533-position model. The record is from RNAcentral.